Molecule: ribosomal RNA, 616 nt
Filed under: uncultured archaeon
Lineage: Archaea
Description: bacterial SSU rRNA
Rfam family: Archaeal small subunit ribosomal RNA
Source: RNAcentral
UUCUGGUUGAUCCUGGCGGAGGCCAUUGCUAUUGGGAUCCGAUUUAGCCAUGCUAGUUGCACGAGUUCAGACUCGUAGCGAAUAGCUCAGUAACACGUGGCCAAACUACCCUUCGGAGCACCAUACCCUCGGGAAACUGAGGCUAAUAGUGCAUCCCGCACUCACCCUGGAAUGGCGAGUGCGUCAAACGCUCCGGCGCCGAAGGAUGUGGCUGCGGCCGAUUAGGUAGACGGUGGGGUAACGGCCCACCGUGCCGAUAAUCGGUACGGGUCAUGAGAGUGAGAACCCGGAGACGGAAUCUGAGACAAGAUUCCGGGCCCUACGGGGCGCAGCAGGCGCGAAACCUUUACACUGCACGACAGUGCGAUAAGGGGAUCCCAAGUGCACAGGCAUAGAGCCUGUGCUUUUGUACACCGUAGGGAAGUGUACGAAUAAGGGCUGGGCAAGACCGGUGCCAGCCGCCGCGGUAAUACCGGCAGCCCAAGUGAUGGCCGAUCUUAUUGGGCCUAAAGCGUCCGUAGCUGGCCGCACAAGUCCAUCGGGAAAUCCACCCGCCCAACGGGUGGCCGUCCGGUGGAAACUGUGUGGCUUGNGACCGGAAGGCGCGACGGGUACG